RNAcentral lists this ribosomal RNA (225 nucleotides) under uncultured bacterium. RNAcentral describes it as "partial 16S ribosomal RNA". It matches the Rfam family "Bacterial small subunit ribosomal RNA", at positions 109 to 334 of the family's 1533-position model. The record is from RNAcentral.
AGUAACGCGUGAGGAACCUGCCUUUCAGAGGGGGACAACAGUUGGAAACGACUGCUAAUACCGCAUGACGCAUUUUGAUCGCAUGGUCGGAAUGCCAAAGAUUUAUCGCUGAAAGAUGGCCUCGCGUCUGAUUAGAUAGUUGGCGGGGUAACGGCCCACCAAGUCGACGAUCAGUAGCCGGACUGAGAGGUUGACCGGCCACAUUGGGACUGAGAUACGGCCCAG